CCUACGGGUGGCUGCAGUGGGGAAUAUUGCACAAUGGGGGAAACCCUGAUGCAGCGACGCCGCGUGAGCGAUGAAGUAUUUCGGUAUGUAAAGCUCUAUCAGCAGGGGAGAAAAUGACGGUACCUGACUAAGACGCCCCGGCUAACUACGUUCCAGCCGCCGCGGUAAUACGUAGGGGGCAAGCGUUAUCCGGAUUUACUGGGUGUAAAGGGAGCGUAGACGGCGGUGCAAGCCAGAUGUGAAAGCCCGGGGCUCAACCCCGGGACUGCAUUUGGAACUGUGCUGCUAGAGUGUCGGAGAGGCAGGCGGAAUGCCUAGUGUAGCGGUGAAAUGCGUAGAUAAUAGGAGGAACACCAGUGGCGAAGGCGGCCUGCUGGACGAUGACUGACGUUGAGGCUCGAAAGCGUGGGGAGCAAACAGGAUGAGAUACCCCGGUAGUC
RNAcentral lists this ribosomal RNA (440 nucleotides) under uncultured bacterium. Its description in RNAcentral is "partial 16S ribosomal RNA". It matches the Rfam family "Bacterial small subunit ribosomal RNA", at positions 338 to 795 of the family's 1533-position model. The record is from RNAcentral.